CCUACGGGCGGCAGCAGUAGGGAAUAUUGCUCAAUGGGGGAAACCCUGAAGCAGCAACGCCGCGUGGAGGAUGAAGGUUUUCGGAUUGUAAACUCCUUUUGUUAGAGAAGAUAAUGACGGUAUCUAACGAAUAAGCACCGUCUAACUCCGUGCCAGCAGCCGCGGUAAUACGGAGGGUGCAAGCGUUACUCGGAAUCACUGGGCGUAAAGAGCGCGUAGGCGGGAUAGCAAGUCAGAUGUGAAAUCCUAUGGCUUAACCAUAGAACUGCAGUUGAAACUGUUAUUCUAGAGUAUGGGAGAGGUAGGUGGAAUUCUUGGUGUAGGGGUAAAAUGCGUAGAGAUCAAGAAGAAUACUCAUUGCGAAGGCGACCUGCUAGAACAUAACUGACGCUGAUGCGCGAAAGCGUGGGGAGCAAACAGGAUUAGAUACCCGAGUAGUC
Molecule: ribosomal RNA, 440 nt
Filed under: uncultured bacterium
Lineage: Bacteria
Description: partial 16S ribosomal RNA
Rfam family: Bacterial small subunit ribosomal RNA
Source: RNAcentral